Hermetia illucens (black soldier fly) is the source of this 339-nucleotide long non-coding RNA. RefSeq lists it as uncharacterized. The record is from RefSeq and is a predicted model, not a curated record. The transcript is spliced from 3 exons. NCBI's taxonomy places the organism in Eukaryota, Metazoa, Arthropoda, Insecta, Diptera, Stratiomyidae.
GACCGUUCACGAUCAGUAUUUCAUCAGUCUGGCGUCUGUCAGAAUGACGAAAUUAUGGCAAAUUGAUUGUUUAGGGCACAGUAUAACUAACAGGCAGUACCCAUACUCAAUGGACCUGACUUACGAAUAUAUUGGGCUUAUCCAUAGUCAUCACUACUAAUCUAAUGAAUUGAUUUAUGGCCGACUGAUGAAAUACUGAUCGUCCUAUUAAAAAAGUCACAUUAUGAUACAGCCAAAUUCCCUGAAAUCUUCAAGUUUAUUAUUUGACGGAGACUAGAUUUAUUCUUUUCUACGACGACAGUGCAUUUGCACUCUCAACAGCAACGAUUAUAAUCCAGG